This 253-nucleotide ribosomal RNA is filed under the name uncultured bacterium. RNAcentral's name for it is "partial 16S ribosomal RNA". It matches the Rfam family "Bacterial small subunit ribosomal RNA", at positions 524 to 776 of the family's 1533-position model. The record is from RNAcentral.
UACGUAGGGUGCAAGCGUUGUCCGGAAUUAUUGGGCGUAAAGAGCUCGUAGGCGGUCUGUCGCGUCGGCUGUGAAAACCCGGAGCUCAACUCCGGGCCUGCAGUCGAUACGGGCCAACUGGAGUACUGCAGGGGAGACUGGAAUUCCUGGUGUAGCGGUGAAAUGCGCAGAUAUCAGGAGGAACACCGGUGGCGAAGGCGGGUGUCUGGGCAGUAACUGACUCUGAGGAGCGAAAGCGUGGGGAGCGAACAGG